Parus major (Great Tit) is the source of this 2084-nucleotide long non-coding RNA. RefSeq lists it as uncharacterized. The transcript is spliced from 2 exons. NCBI's taxonomy places the organism in Eukaryota, Metazoa, Chordata, Aves, Passeriformes, Paridae. The record is from RefSeq and is a predicted model, not a curated record.
CCCAAACCUGCAAUGAAGGAGGAUGCCAUGUUACUGGGAAAACUGGACCAGAGCACUGGCACUAGGAUGUGUCCCCAGCCCUGCCACUGACUCACACUAGCCCAACCACGUGUGGCACAUGGGUGCUGGCAUUGUGCUGCUUUGAAGGUGCUCUGUGCGGCUUUUGCCUCCCUCUUUAGAGCUGAUGAGUUAAUAUUUAUUAAUAGACACAGGCACGUGAGGUAGGCAGCAAAGGGUGUUGUGAGACAUCCCAGCAGAUUUGGGAGCACAGAAAUGUGGCAUGGGAGGCCCAGGCAAGAGCAGCCUUUGUUGAGAAGGGUGAAGGGAUGCUUGGGAGCUGUUGCUACCAGCAAGAGAAGUUACUUUCUGGGAAAGCUUAUCCUGAUAUCCUAGGAUACAAACAGCAAAUGCUCAUAGAGCUGGGACAGCAAUUAUGUUUUAGCUUUUGCUAGGAUUAGGUGUGACAGGAAGAUCUCCCGUCCUGCAGCUGAUUGACAUAAUCGUACUCCCUGUCCUGGCUUGCAGUCCCAGCUCAGCCUCUUAAUUGCUGCCCUGAGACUGAGCCCCUCAACCUUCAGCCUCAGUGUCAGAGAUGCUCUUUGGUGCCCUUUGCCUGUGUUAUACCCCACCAACAGGGCUGCAGGCACUUGGGGCCAAGCAGGGAAAGGCAUGUGCCCUGAUUUUUAUUAAGGGCAUGGAAAUAACUGGGGAAUGUAUCCACAUUCUCUGCAGCGAUGUCCAUUCUCUCAUCCCAUCUGCAGGCUGGAUUCAAUUAAUUUCUUAGCUGACUUUCCAUCAGUGCUGCAUCCCCACAGGGUUUCUCCACAGGAAGCCUCAAGAACCUUGCAAGCUCUGGGAACCCUCACCCCUGUGAUGGAACCCGCUGGCCUCAGAGGAACUGCUGUCACUGGGGUUUGAUUGAGACAGGAAGGACCUGGGCACCCAACUAACCGUCACUGGCAGCUUGCACAGUGCUGGAAGUACCAGCACACAUCUGGGGCUGCCUGGGAGCCAUGGCCCACAGGGCUGCCCCAACUGCAGGGACAUUCAGGCAGAAGAGACAAAGAUACUUUAGUCCUUAUAGUCCUUUGCACAAGGCUUGCUCUUACACUGUGCCUUAAAUCAUGACUCUGGCUCAGUUCAUCUGCUGUCUCAACAAAUCCUGGUUUACUCCCUUUCUCCAUGGGGCAGGGGUGGGGAACGGGGGCAGAAACUUGGCCCCUUGUUCUUUGCUGUGUCUAACCCAUGGCAAUCCCUUUAAAGUCACACUGUAAUAUUGUUGAGUUCAAAUGUAAACAGCACUUAAUGUCUCCCUUCAGCUUCCCAGUUUUCCAUAUGCAAAACUCCCUCUGCAAAGGAGACAGACCAGCAGAAAACUGCCACCACAUGAUGGGAGCCAGGCCUCCAUCUCCAUGCUUGGUGUAACUCCACGUUUGCAGCCAGAUGCACAAACUUGCUCUAGCUCAAGCAUCUGUUGUUAGUUACCCACAAACAGCCCUGAUAAACACAGCCCUCUAAGCUUCCUGACAGAGCCUGGCAAGUGACAAAGCAAAAGGACAAGGCAACGAGGAGUUGGCAAAGAGAAGUAUUGGCUAUUUAGAAGUUACCCUUCUUGGUAGUUAUGGUCUGGGAGAAAGGGUUGGGUAGAAGAAGAGGAGAGAUAUUGUUUGCAGCAGUUGUAUUUGUAGGAGACAAGAAGGAUGCACUGUUGUGGAAGAGAAAGGAACCAUGGCCACAUCUGCAAGCAAGAGAUCUGAACUGUGUCCAAGGGAACCAGGAGAGCUUCCAACAGGACACGGUCGAAAAGUUCAAGUCCAAGGAAAAGCAAGAUUCCAUUAAAAAGACCCCAGUCCCAUUUCAAAAGAAGAACUGAGCAUGCUCAGAGGGACGUGGAGCUCAUUACCAUACGAAAUGAGAGCAGGCAGAGUUAGGCAAUGAAUAUGUAUAGAUGUAUUGUGUGAUUUAUGCAUAUGUAAUGUUUUGGGGAAUAAAUUGAGUAUAGGGGGCAGUGGGGGACGCACGUCUUUGGGAGAUGACUCCGGCGUGUCACCCGGUAAUAAACACAUCCUCCCUAACCUUAAGUA